RNAcentral lists this ribosomal RNA (301 nucleotides) under uncultured bacterium. RNAcentral describes it as "partial 16S ribosomal RNA". It matches the Rfam family "Bacterial small subunit ribosomal RNA", at positions 509 to 807 of the family's 1533-position model. The record is from RNAcentral.
CAGUCGCCACGGUAAUACGGAGGGGGCUAGCGUUGUUCGGAAUUACUGGACGUAAAGCGCACGUAGGCGGCUUGGUAAGUUAGAGGUGAAAGCCUGGAGCUCAACUCCAGAAUUGCCUUUAAGACUGCCGAGCUAGCAGGUGAGAGAGGUAAGUGGAAUUCCGAGUGUAGAGGUGAAAUUCGUAGAUAUUCGGAAGAACACCAGUGGCGAAGGCGGCUUACUGGCUCAUACUGGACGCUGAGGUGCGAAAGCGUGGGGAGCAAACAGGAUUAGAUACCCCAGUAGUCCCUGUCUCUUAUAC